GACGUAGGGGGCCAGCGUUGUUCGGAAUUACUGGGUGUAAAGGGUUCGUAGGCGGUGCGGCAAGUCGGGUGUGAAAUCUCGGAGCUUAACUCCGAAACUGCAUUCGAUACUGCCGUGCUUGAGGACUGGAGAGGAGACUGGAAUUUACGGUGUAGCGGUGAAAUGCGUAGAUAUCGUAAGGAAGACCAGUGGCGAAGGCGGGUCUCUGGACAGUUCCUGACGCUGAGGCACGAAGGUCAGGGGAGCAAACGGG
RNAcentral lists this ribosomal RNA (253 nucleotides) under uncultured bacterium. RNAcentral's name for it is "partial 16S ribosomal RNA". It matches the Rfam family "Bacterial small subunit ribosomal RNA", at positions 524 to 776 of the family's 1533-position model. The record is from RNAcentral.